GGCGGCGAGGCCGGGGGCUGUGGACCGGCCCGCCGGGGAGGGGCCAGGGAGAGGGGGGCGGCCCCUCGGUCAGCGCGGCCCGGAGUCCAGACCUGGUGCCCAGCUCCCCAGCGGGCGCCUGCCCUGGGCUGUAGUACGGGAGCCUCGGCAGUCUCGGGCGAGAGUUUCGGGAGAGGGUCCCGAGAUCCCGCCUUGCGGGGUUCGGAACCCGGCCCUGGCCCGCGACUCGGACCUACCCCGAGCAGGGCCCCGGUGAGGCCGCGGUGCCCCCGCUUUCAGAGCCCCGCCGCGCGCGGAACCGCAGGAGCAGGACGUCCACCGGCGGUUUGCGAGCGGCGGGCUCGGGAUUCUAGGCUUCUCCUAUUGUGACUAUUUGUAGUUUGUAAGUUUUUUUCUAGUGAACACUGUGGUGCUUUUUCAUUAAGAGCGGCGAUUUUUUCAAGGCGCCUGCAGAAGUUGAGCGGCCCGGCCCCGCAGUGUGAGCGGCCCCUUUCCAGACUGCAGGACUGCGCGUUCCUGGGCCCGGGACCCGGCUCCUCCUCCCUCGGCUCCCCGGCCGGCCCCGCCCCGCCCCCGCCCAUGCCCCGCCCUCCACUCCUGACCCCGCCCCUCCCCCGGCUGCGGCGAAAAUCCGGAGUGGCGGAUUGCCCUCUGCUCCGCGGGAGCCGGCUGUGGGCUCCUGCAGGAGCGGUGCCGGGGGUGCGGCUGACGCCGCUCCGCGCUCCCUCUUCUCACUCUGUCCUGGGCGAGCCACGCGGGGCAGCGCCGCGACCCCAGCCGCCGGCCCUGCCUCAGAAGCGGGUCAGGACCCGACUGAGCAUGCUCGCCCUCCAGCGCAGCGUGGCUCGACCAGGUGGACGCUGCCGGGACCCGGGGUCGGACCGCGCAGGGGAGGCGCAGGUGCGUGGUCCGGCCGCAGGUGCAGGGGACCUGGCUGGAAGGCGGGGGAGGGGCAUCUGGCCUGCAGGCUUGCCAGCCAGCCUGUCCCAGCUCUUGUCCCAGCUCUGCGUCUCUCCAGCUUCCUUCCUAAAUCACCACCACCACCUGCCCUAGGAGUGGAGCCCUUGGGUUGGAGCCAGCUGAUUGGAUGUGAGCUCUAAG
RNAcentral lists this long non-coding RNA (1101 nucleotides) under Sus scrofa (pig). Its description in RNAcentral is "lncRNA (ENSSSCG00030054407.1)". The record is from RNAcentral. Lineage: Eukaryota; Metazoa; Chordata; Mammalia; Artiodactyla; Suidae.